Molecule: ribosomal RNA, 482 nt
Filed under: uncultured bacterium
Lineage: Bacteria
Description: partial 16S ribosomal RNA
Rfam family: Bacterial small subunit ribosomal RNA
Source: RNAcentral
AUUGAACGCUGGCGGCAUGCUUUACACAUGCAAGUCGAACGGUAACAGGCCGCAAGGUGCUGACGAGUGGCGAACGGGUGAGUAAUGCAUCGGAACGUGCCCAGUCGUGGGGGAUAACUACUCGAAAGAGUAGCUAAUACCGCAUACGAUCUAUGAAUGAAAGCGGGGGACCGUAAGGCCUCGCGCGAUUGGAGCGGCCGAUGUCAGAUUAGGUAGUUGGUGGGGUAAAGGCUCACCAAGCCAACGAUCUGUAGCUGGUCUGAGAGGACAACCAGCCACACUGGGACUGAGACACGGCCCAGACUCCUACGGGAGGCAGCAGUGGGGAAUUUUGGACAAUGGGCGCAAGCCUGAUCCAGCAAUGCCGCGUGCAGGAAGAAGGCCUUCGGGUUGUAAACUGCUUUUGUACGGAACGAAACGGCUCUGGUUAAUACCCGGGGCUAAUGACGGUACCGUAAGAAUAAGCACCGGCUAACUACGUG